UUUUGUGGCUGCAUGACAUGGAUGACAUCCAUUUUGUAUUAUGUUAGGUGUAUAUUCAGAAAAGUUAUUUUUGCUAAUUAUACUUUACUUUUCUGUAUCAUCCUCUAUUUUUGGCAAUGUAAAUUAUAAAUUUUACUUAUUUCGAUAUGGUUGUAAACUUAUUAAUCCUUUAGAUACCUAGCUAUUUUAAAUUUAUCAUGUGGUGGAUACUUGAUUGUUGGGU
RNAcentral lists this long non-coding RNA (223 nucleotides) under Actinidia chinensis (golden kiwifruit). RNAcentral's name for it is "long non-coding RNA (ACHI_LNC003558)". Lineage: Eukaryota; Viridiplantae; Streptophyta; Magnoliopsida; Ericales; Actinidiaceae. The record is from RNAcentral.